This 433-nucleotide long non-coding RNA is filed under the name Homo sapiens (human). RNAcentral describes it as "HSALNT0232594". Lineage: Eukaryota; Metazoa; Chordata; Mammalia; Primates; Hominidae. The record is from RNAcentral.
GAUAUUUUGUGCAAAUUAGAUGUUCAUCAUCAACUGUCUUGGAAAAAAAUUGAUUCUUAAUUUUUUAAUUAAGCAUGAACUUCCAGUUUUUAAACUCUGAUGCAGAAAGAUGGCUGCUGCAUCUCUGAGCACUGCAUCAGUUCCUAAGAAGGUGGAAUGGUGAAAUGUCUCAAACUUUCUUGGAAGCCCCAUUAGGUGACUUGUGUUUCUGUCUCAUUGGCUACAACUGAGUUACGUGGCCACCCCUUGCUGCAGUGAAUCUAGGAAAGUGAGUAGUAUUGAUGACUUUUCUGGUAUUGUUUUGGAUCUUUUCGUUUCUUCAAGUGUACCAUCAAAAAUCCUGGUAUUCUGGCCAGACACAGUGGCUUACGCCUAUAAGCCCAGGAUUUUGGGAGGCCAAGUCAGGCAAAUCACUUGAGGUCAGGAGUUCGAG